CGCCUGGUAUCUUGAAACCUCUUUGCUUGCGGGGGCAGGAGUGGAAACGUCUGAGAGAGCGCUUCGCGAAAGAAUCGUGUGGCGUGGUGAAAGGUUUCCCGUUGGGGUUUCCGGCCCCCUUGGUCUUCACCUAAUUUUUGAAGAGGGGAGGUGAGUUGAUACUCAACUCUCUCUCUCGCGCCUUUAUUCAGCUUGUUCCUGUUCGUCUAUUCGGGACGGGGCAGGCAGCCCACAUACAUGAAGAGAAGAAGAGAGGGGGGGGGUCCUAAGGUGUCAAGGCGGUCGAAGAAGGCCACAAGUGGAAGCAACCGAUGCUUUGGUCAUUCUCUUACAGAGCCUUGCUGCUAGUCCGUGCUUGCUGUCAUGCUGGCAAAAGCAGGUG
RNAcentral lists this unclassified non-coding RNA (382 nucleotides) under Hevea brasiliensis (rubber tree). Lineage: Eukaryota; Viridiplantae; Streptophyta; Magnoliopsida; Malpighiales; Euphorbiaceae. The record is from RNAcentral.